UGCAGGAAUUAGUGAAAGUUACACGUCAAACUGAUGCAAGCGACAUUAUUAACCCAAGUAACAAAGUGAAUAAUAAAGAACCAACAAACAUAUAUAUAUAUAUAUAUAAAAAAAAAAAAUAAUAAUCUGGAAAUGAACAAAAAUAAAUCAUGGAAAUGGUUCCAGUAGGCAGAAUUGCAGAUUUGACAAUGUAAGGGGCGGUUGGCUGUCUGGGAGAAUAAUUGACAGUUUUGGCUCAGGAAGUAGGUCAUACUAUUAAACAUCUUGAAUGAAUGAUCUCUCAUAAUACAGCAGCUCUAUGCAAUGCAAAACAUACCUAUAAAGUGGGUGUCUAUCAAACAUUUUAUAAAGGAUUAAUAGUUGCACAAGAGUACCAUGGCUUCCAAGAUCAGACUUAACGAAACGACAAAAACGAUAGUUAACCAGGGUUCCUGUUCCUGUAUUAAGCCCUCUGGCAGUCAAGAUGUUUAAACAGCAAGUCUAAGACUUUUUUUAUCAUCAUCUACCAUCUCACUAAUCGAAAUAACCUUUACAGGUGCUCCUGAACAUCUGAAUACAGUGUAUAAUAUGAUCUAUACACCAUCUUUAACUGCCAUUCGAGUAUAUUUUACUGGUUGUACCCUGCUUGAUAGUGAUGAAUUUCACGGUUAUGCGAUCUAUAAAAAAAUAUCUAUUAAAAAAUAUCCAUUAUUAAACCUACAGCAAACAUUACAACAGGUUAAAGCAAAAUAAUUUACUCCUUGUAUAUUUGGUGCUUGUACACUGAAAUCUCCAAUAUUAUUUGAGAUACAUAAAUGUAUAGCAUGUGUAUUAUAUAUUAUCAUACCCCCACACAUAUAUACAUGCCUUUCACUUCCACAAAUAAACAGAAUAUCAAUAUAUAUUUUUUUUUUCUGAGCACAGCCACAAGAUAGUUUGCACCCUGUACAAAUUGCAACAUUCGACUGGUCAGCAAUACUGGCGUUUCAGGACAGAAUAUCCUACUUUAGUGUGGGAGCAAGGCUUAAACAGCAACUCUAUCACAAAAAUGCAUAGCACCAAAAGAGGUUAAAAAAACAACCCAAAACUAAACAUAACCAUUAUAAAAUUAACAUGACCUUGUUUUGCUCCAUUUCCCCCCUCCUUUUUAGCCACCAAUUUCAAUUCUGUUUAAUGUUGGUUUAAUAAAAAGUGUCAGCAUAUUGCAGUAAAUGAGCAAUCUUCUGGACGUGUAAAGAAUAAACACAGUUAUUCAUUGAAGUGUGAACUUUCGAGAAUUCAAUGUGAAUUUCAAAUUUUAGACCAAAAUAGCUGAACUGGAAAAUUCUCCAAGUCCGCUAUGCUUUCAAUUUUGCGGUAAAAUUCUAAACAGACUUUGAAUAUCGGACAAUUCACACUUUAGUCAAUAUCCCUGUACGAGAGAGAUGUAUAAAACCAUUCUAAGUGUGAGUCACUUUGUCCACUUACCGCCUCAGCACUUGAUUUAGUUUCACAUAUUACAGACAUCAUUUAGAAAUCUCUACAUAUAAUCAAGGUAUAGGUUGGUUAAUUGUGGGAUAAAUAUAAAACAGGAGAGAAUAUCUGAGUAUUUCAUCAAAAAGACAUUUCACUUUCGCUAGUCUCCAAAUUUGUCUGGAGGUAUAUAUGUUAUUAACUUAUUAGUACUAACUUUAUUGACCUCGCAACAAAAGGAUGAGUUGAUCUUUAAGGGAAUCAAACUUGUGACUCACAUACUGCGUCUUUCUACUAAAAAAAAUUUGGCCCUAAAAGUUUUCCAACCCCUGCACUCCAAUACAAAUCAACAAGAACAAGUAUUGUCUUUAUUGCAAUCAUUCCAACCAAAAUGAACAAAGAUAAAUGGAAACCGCAGCAAUGAGACUUGAUAUGUUGGUGAAAAGCUGCAACAAUAUUCUUAGUCAUGGUGUUAUUUUUGGUGCUUUGGAAUUGCAACUUUGUUUAUACAUCUCAUCUCAAAUAACUUCUAUAGCCUGACAUUAUAUACAAUACAGACUGGGGAAAUGUUAAAAUAUGAACCAUUGAAUCACACAGCUGGUAUUAUUCUACCUACCCCCCACCCUCCCAACACCUCUCCCCGAAUGGUAGAUUAUUUUUCUGUCCAUGUUAUUAAAGAUAACAAAGAUAUAGUGCAGCUUGUCACUAGACAGAUUGUGUUACAUACUAUUUAUUAAGACGCAACCUAACAUACAAGAUAGGCACACACAGCAGACUCCAUCCGUCAGAGUGCUUAAAUGAUAGAUGAGACCAAAAAAAAAACCAUGAAAGCUAGCAGCAUAUCUUCUUCAGUAAUCAUCUGUCUGGCACAAGCUUUUUAAAUUUUUUAUAUUUUUAGGAAACACAUAACGAGUGAAAGCCAGAUCCUGCUGACCUCUAUGAAACCAAUGCAUUCUGGAGAUCUAAAACAUGUUAAAGAUAAUCCACUGUUCUGUUCGUAUACACAGCCAGGUGGAAAUAUUUGAUCUCCAAUGAUUGGUACUAUGAAAAUUAUAAACAAGUAAAUGAACGAAAGCACCCCUCUUCUAAAACACAAAAACUAAUAUACACUAUCAAGAUAACAGUCAGCGAAAUAAUACCCAAGCACGAACAGACACCAGGCGCCAAAUCACGAGAAGGACAUUAAUUCUCACCAAUAGUGAGUAUAGUUAUCCCCAAACCCUUAAAAUCCAUUGGAUACUGCACUGCCUGGUGAAUUAUCCCAUUAAAGCUUUUGAUCACUACUAUACGGUUGUCUCUUAAGGCACACUGCAGCAGUGCAACAGGGAAUGUUGUAUGAUAAGCUCAUAUUCUAGGGCACAGAAGGCAGAAUAUUUUGAUCAAGAACAUGUGAUUGUGUUCACGUCAACUCCCAUGGUGUCAUGGUAUUUCUGAUAGGGUAACCCACAUUGUGGGCACACUCUGAACAAGCAGAUAACUAAAUUGUCUGAUUUGCCACAAUGAUGUAAUGCCAAAUCAUAAAAGUUUUAAGGGGAAAAAAAAAUUACAUUAAAGAGGGACUCAGCAGCACAGCCAGGAUAGUUCAGUUUGGUGGUUAUAAUGCCAAGACAUUUUUGGUUCAUUUCCCCAUUUUUUUGUCAAACCCUUUUAGAUGUUUAGGGGUGACUUAUCCCAGCCCUUGAAGCUUAUCAUUGCUUUCCAAAUUUUGACUGAUAAUGUAGAGGUGCAAUUCUUCAUCACUGCAUGAGGACGUGAUGGUGAUUUUUAUUUUUUGGUCAUAUCACCUGAAGAUGGGAACUGCACCCAAAUGCUUCUUAUAGCAUAAAAACUACAUUGAGCUGCAGUACGGUGCUUAAGGUGUAAAUUUAAUACGAAUACAUUUUACAAGAGUAUAUUAAAAUAUUUAUGUUAACAUUUCCUUGGACUUGUGCAACUGACUUCUGUAGAAGAAGAAAAAAAAUUAAAUAUAUUUUCUGUGUGGCACUUUUAAUUUUUACUUUAAAAUGGUGGGUGUCUUGCAGCAUAACUUCUUCACACAAGGUGAAAACAAAAAUAUCUCAAGGAUGUGUUCAUUAGGAUUUCACCUUCAAAUGCUAUUUUCAGUUUACACAGAAUACAAGCAUGUUAGAUGAAUCAUAUUUAUUAACUACACAUUUACUACACUGCAACGGACUAUAGUUGCAAAUCACAAAUUGAUGUGCUAGGUUCUAUGCAAUUUUCUAUCCUAUGGUAUGACUGGAGGCAGAAGCAGUGUAACGUAAAAACGUUCUGAAACAGUUUGAUAACCUACAGGUGGUGUUACUGGUUUUACGACUGCAAGGAUCCCUACAUUUUAAAAAAAAUUGUAACCGAAGCUAGAGGGGCAGUGAAGAGGAAACAUUUUUAAAAUAAGGCUGUAGAGAUUGAUCACAUUCAAAUCAACUGAAGGCUAUCCCCUAGAUUGUUACAACUUGCAGAAUUCUAUAGGCAGGUCCCCAUAACAUUUGCAAAUAUUAAUGCAUAUCAGGAUGCUAUAUAACAAACAACCACCCCCACAUACAAUUUUGGUUGCCAACAGAAUGAUUAAAGAGAUAGUAUUGAAAUAAAAAAAUAAAUAAAUGUUUGGGCUGAUUAUAAAUGUAGAGGCCGCUGUAUCACAAGAAAAUAUCCCCAAAACUACUUCCCACAAAACUCAACACCUUAACCUUAUUAGCUAUGUGUUGAUAUUUUCUUAAGCUAAACUAAAUGUUUUUAUUAAUAUUGGCCAUAAACACUAGAAAAACGUAAGUAUGGCAAAACAAUAUCAGCCAUGUAAAUUUGAUGUUCUAAAACUGCAUAGCAGACACUUUGUGGCACAGAUAAGCUUCUUGUUCACUGGAAGCAAAGCAAAGGCAUGCAACGACUACACGGACUGAUCUUCAUGUAUGUUUGAACUGUAAUUGUAUAAAUAAGGCAGCUUUCUUAUUAAAAAAAGAAAUGUGAGCACCCUCUCAAUAAACUCACGUACCCACUGACAGCUGCUAGCACCAUAGUUACAGUAAACAUUACAAGAGUGCUUUGUUGCAAAGAUUCAAGGGACACACAACAUCAGCAGCAAUAUUGAAUCUAAUACUCAGUAAACAUACUCCAUAUUCAUUAAGGUACAAUGUCUAGAAAUAAAAUAUGAGAUACAUGAUAUAUAUGUUAAUUAUGUUAAAUACAAUACAAAGCAACAGCAGCCACAAGAAUACUUUAUACAAACUCACAACUACUGGUGGAGAAUACCGGAAUUUUGAAAAAAACAUUUAUUUUUUACAUAAAAUAUGUAUUUAAAUCAGGGCAUCUACCUGUUAGGCAGCCGUGAUUGAAAUCAUUCAGGUUCUGCAGCAAUGAGGGUAGUAUGUGACACCAGAUAUUUGGUACAUACAGCAUCUUAGGAAAGUAAAAGUUAGUUCAAUGUGCAGUUCUACAAUGUCUGCACACUCCGUUUCCCAUGCAAAUGGAAUGUAAAUCCUGACUAUCAACAACAUACAAUUAUGGAAAGUAGACAAGCUGUUUAGGGGAAUUAAAACGCAUAAAUAUAGCAUCUGAAAAACAGUUGCUACUCAUCAUGAUCACAAUGGUUUCUGAUCUGACAUAACAUCACAGAAAACUAUUUUUCAUUUGUUAGACUUUCUCCCCUCUUGCCCUUUUUGGCUUGCCUAAAAUAUUACAAGUAAAGCGACAUACCUCUGCAUACAAAACAUGCUAUUCUUAAAAGAUUAAUUCAAAACGGUUUGAACACAGCAAUAACAAAAUGGUUUUGUUAUUCACGGGAUUUGUGGUUUUUAGUUACUCCGUAGCAAAUGGACAUCGGAGUAUCAACUUUAGGUCAAUGUAGAAUUGGAAAAUAAAAAUCCAACUUUGCAGUCAACGUACCACUACGCACAUUUAAUGAAAAAAAUGAAUAGUGCACAGAUGUCUUAACCCCUAGGUUAAUCAAAACAAGUAUAUUUGGUACAGUAGGUCUCAAGCAACUGACCACAACUAAACCGCUUAGAGCACUUAACAUGCGCAACAAAAUUAUCGAAUAAAUGUUUUGCACAAAUUUAUUUAGCAUAUGUAGGCACUGAAUAUAUCAAGCUAAAAUUACAAGUGAAGAAUGACUUAUCGACUAUUGCCAUGUACAUCAAUUUGGGUUGGAUUUGGUAUUUCAAACAUCCAAAUACCUUUGAGCAUCACUGCAUUUGCAAUUGUUCUUUAUAUUACAUUACAAGUAUUUUGAUGUACUUGCUGCAUGUGACUAGCUCCUAACUCAAAACAAUUUAGAAUGGUAAUAUUAACAUAUAGCAACAACUGCUUUUGUAUGAUAUUUUUACAUAGUGUGUUUGGCUAUAUAGCUGCUACACUGCAUAAGUAGAGACUUCCAUUAAAUGCAAUUAAGAGGAACUGUAUCCUUUAAGUGGAUUGUUCCCCUUAUUUACCCAACAUUAAUGAAGCAUUUAAGGAGGAAGUGGAGAGCCAGGCCAAUUCUAAAAUACACUUACUCCAAAUCAUUGCCACUAUGUUCGGAUGCUCCAUAAGCAGGACAGGAAUCAAUUUCCCAUAAUUUCUCGAGGGUCAUGGACCACACAUGAAGUCAUACAGAAACAGGAUAUACAUCAGAUGUCAAGCUGUGCCUGAAACAUCUUGCAUUUGAUACAGAUGUAAAUAAGACCUAUAUAAAAUUCAAAACAUAACACUCGCUUAGAGUAAUAGCCUCCUAGUUCUAAAUAAUAGCACUGACUGAGUAACAAAGUAACACCUCAAAUGGAAACUUCAAGCAAAUAAGCCACAUGCUACUGUGACUCUAGCAAUGCUUUCAUUUUAACUGCACUCUUUGUGUAAAGAGGUGACAUUCAAUGUUUAUUUUAAUAUAGUGCCUGUAUUGGUAUUUUGAUUUAUUUUAAAAACCAUAGACAUUUUCAUUUGCCUUCAAAAGUUACACCGAAGGCAUACAGCAGCUAAAGGUUUGUUUUUCUCCCUUAAAACAGCUGCUGUCAGACACAUAUGUUUAAUUAUAACACCACCCACAUUGUUAUGGACUGUAGUGACAUUUUAUCAUAGGCGCUGCACAAAACUAAAAGUAUAACAGACCAGAAUAGCUCUUAGCAUUCAACAAGCAGCUUGAUUGAGAGAGAUAUAUAUAUAUAUAUAUAUAUAUAUAUAUACACACACACACACCGUUUGUCUAUGUUCAGUGGUAGAGACAACAGCAAAGAUGUAAAUUGUGUUCCACUUUCAUUCGAGCUUUUCACAAUCAUACAAUGCAAUUAAUUUCCUGACUUGUGACUGAUACUAUAUUGAGAUGAUUAGUAAAUAUACUGUGCAUUUCAUGGGCACAUUAUGAAGUUUAAACCACAGCAGACUGAAAUAGUGCAUCUGGUUGCUGUUGAUUAAAGCAUCACUACUGCAAUCACAGAAUUAUGUUUUAGGUGUACUCAUGAGAGACCAUUACAGCUGAUUAUCUUCCUGAGAGCUGUGUACAUCUCUUGGAAAUGUGGAUUAAGCAGUGACUGUUGUAGGCUGGAGAGACAAGGCUGGCAUACUUUUAAGAGAAGUUAUUACAAGACCUUUAGUACAAUAGCAGCAUGAAAUAUAAUGGCAUGUCUGUACCAACAACUGGAACGUAUGGUAAACUAAGCUGUAACAGUAACAUACAUUAUUAAAUUAACCCCAGGCAAGAAGUCAAAUCAUCCUAAAACGUCACUAGAAUACGAAGAGGCACCAUAACCACAGCAUUGAGCAGUGGUUAUGGUGUUUGUAGUGUUCCUUUAAGCUGACACGACGCAACUGACAGAACCAAUACGGCAAGUCAAACAUUAUACGAAACCUAGUAAGACAAGCAGCAUUUUAGAUUGACAUGACACUAAUAAUUUUUAAAUUUUUUGGUAGGAGUUUGGCACACUCACUAUCUCCAUCUUGUUAAUGCCCUGGUACAUAACUGAGCCAUAAUAUAAUUACCAGGAAACAACGCACACUGUCUUUUUAAAGCACAUCUUAAAGCUUUAUUUAAAAAAAAAAAAAAAAAAUCAACAGUGUCAACGUUUUAGUCCCAUGCUAGUCUUGAAAAAAGUCCAGCAUGGUACUGAAACGUUGCCAUUUGAUUAUUUUGGAAAAAUAAAGACUGAAUACUUGCUUUAAAAAGAGUACACACUCUUUUCUUUUGUAUAUAUAAAAAGAGAAAUGGUAAGCAGACAUCAAUCCACCACUAGGAUUUUGACCUCUAAACCCUGAAAACAAUCUAAAAAUGCUCUUUCAUUGACUUUUCAACUUGUGUAGUUUCUCUCAUUCUGCUGCUAGUCUGCUUCUAGAUUUUCUGGCAAGUAUUGUAACAAGUCUCAAAGAAGUUUGCACAGAAAGUGUUAACUUUUUUACUUUUAAGUUAUUCUUCAUUUAUAAAAGAAUUUAUAAGACCAAUUUGAUAUUGUGCUAUAAAGUGAUGGAUAUUGUGCAGAUUUUCUGUAUAAAAUUCUUCAGGACACAAAAAAAUAAAAGCUUAUUAAUCCAGUUACCUUGCAAAACCAGCUAAAUUACAGUUGUGUGUACUUAAAGAUGGUUUAUAUGCUUAUCAGAGCACAGAAAAUGUGCUUUUUUUAGUAUGAUGAUUAAGGAGUUUAACUAUCUGACAGAAUGCUUGGUUGCUCUUCAAACAUAUAUAUAUUUCAAACGUAUUGCAGCUAUUCAGAGUACACUUCAAGCGUGUCCACAGUAAGGUAUAACUGAUGGAGCACCAUACUAGUUGUGUUACGCAUAUGGCUUGAAUCCAGAGACAACUAGGUUAAAGUAAUUAGCCUGCUCUGACUGACCAGGAUGCAGCUAUAAGAUCAACUGACUGCACCCGGCAGAAUAUUUAAAAUGUUACUCCAAGCACCAUUGACCAUUUCAAUGAUUUUUUUAAAUUGACAGAGCCUGGAGUCUGAAUGUGCAGUUUUGCUGUGAAACGCCACAUGUCUAGUUUGUUUAACUCCUCUGCAGCGUCAUUGGGGCAUCAAGUUCUAAGCCUGCUAAUAUGGAUUCUGUGCAUAUUCCUAUGCAGAAUUUUAUUCAUUGGUUAAAAGCAGUGGACUGACUCAGCCAAUGAAUGGCCAGCAGGUUCAACUUCUGGCUUCUGCAGCUUUUAACUGUAUGUUGUCACUGACUAUAGAUAAGAGCAGAAGCUCAGCGGGGGCCCAGGAAAGAGGGCAAAUCAUUGUAAAACAGUUUGCCACAUUGAGGUAAAGGUGUUAAGAUCCACUGCUAAUUUUACUCCAAGCAUCAUACUUUUAUUGCAUCACAUAGAAUGCAGUUUCUAUGUGCUACAUUCACACUAUAAGAGAAUACAUGCAGUGUCAUAUGAAAUCAUUUCCCCCUCCUUGUACUGUGUAGGUUAGUAAACAAACUAUUAAAGUCAAAUGAUGCAUGACUGAUGCAGAGCAAAACCAUUAAGUGAAGAUUUAUUAGGGAUAAUAGGGGAGUCUAAGAAAUGGGUAUCUAGAAAUGUAUGAGGAUAGAGAAUAUAAAAGAAAUGGCCAUUUUAUGAAUAUAUGAAACAAUGUAUUUAGAGACAGCAUAUUAACUAUAGGUAAUGGGAGGAAGUUGUGAAGUGCCCUUUAAUGAGGUUUCCCUAGUAACUAAAGAUUUAAAAGUGAUGUACUCUAGUUUCCCCUACCCACAUAGCAUACACAUAAAUCCUUUGUUUUUCUGCAGCAGGCAGGCACACAUAUGGUUUACAAAGAAGUGUAAUCUUUUUUUCCCAACAACACACAAGUCCCACUAUUCACCACUCCAAAAAAAAUUGGUAAAUUUUUCGCAAUAGGAUAUUUAUUUCAGACACCCCUUCACUGGCAAGAAGCAGAGCCACAUUAAUAAGUUUUGGUUUGACAACAUGUUUAGAAGAAAUUUAAAAUGCAGCACAUGAUGUAUGCAUAAACCUAUAUUAAGUACAUACAUUAAUGUAUAUCAAGUCUUGCACAGAUCCUAUUACAACAGGCUAAUUCUUCUUUAGGAAAAUAUUAAAAACAUUUCAUACACCUUAACCAGUGGUUAUGGUGCCAGCAGAGUCUUGGUAGAACCCAUCGUAAGUAGUCAACCGUUUGCCACUGUUAUUACAACGUGCUUUGGUCUGUUCAAUACUGGUCACCUCCUCUACAAAAGCUGGAAGAUCUUUGAUUUGAGCAGAGCACAACGGUGCCGCAAUUAACUAAUGCUCUCAGCCAAUGAGCUGACUGUAUAAUCAGUUAACUAUGGGGAGCAUGUAGGAACUUCCAGCGUGCAGCAGACGCCAUGUAAAAAGUAAAAACUUUGUAAAACGGUUUGCACCAUAAUCACUGUAGUGCACUUUAGUGGAUAUGGUGCUUAGAGUGUUCCUUUAAGUGCAUCUCUCCAGUAAACUAUCAAACCUUAUUAACUUUAAUUGAAAACAAAGUGAAAAGUUUCUAUGUAGUCAAUACAGAAUGGUGACGAAUACAAAAACGUGUACAAAUGACCAACAGUUGUUCUGAAGAAUGUACCAUCAGUCAAUGCUUGGGCACUACAUUCUAAAUAACACCCUAUGGGGUUUAGAACAAUGUAACGUGUUCAGCUAGUUCAAAUAUUUCAGGGGGGAAUAUGCCUCUAGCAAGUGGUCAAAACUGACUUACACACAAAAAGCUUACAAUGUUGUGAGGUAUUAAAGAUCAAACAAUAUUUUUAAUACAUUGGCAGGAUCUUGCAGAUCCUAACAAAAUAUAAAGGUCAAUUUUAUUUAACAUUACAUCUUGCCAAAAUAUUUUGCUAGUGAUAAAGAAGUGAAUUAUGUCUUGCAGUGUGUGCGCGCGCGCAAGGAGGACAUAAUUCAUUGGCUACUUUUGAUAGAUUAUAUAGAUAAACUAGUGCAAGAGAUGAAAAGAGGAGAAUAUACCUAGGCACAGCAGGGGCAUCCCAAACAGAUCAUUGUAAACACUUAGAGCCCAUGGGCUGCCGUGCUCUUUGUAAGAUAUCGGUAAACCACACUUUAAUGCCCAUUGUUCUACAGUUAUCACUACAACAUUCUAUAUUUCAGCUACAUGUAAGAAUGCUGUGUAAGUAACAGGUACCAAGGAGUGUAAUACUACAUAGGAGCAGCGGCAAAAACAUUCUGAAUAAAGUUUGCCAUUUGUAUUUCCAUUCCAGAAUGGAAGGUAAAUAAUGGCAAACUGAAACAGAUGGCAUAUCCAUAAGAAAAAAAAAA
Non-coding RNA from Pelobates cultripes (western spadefoot toad), 10597 nucleotides. Lineage: Eukaryota; Metazoa; Chordata; Amphibia; Anura; Pelobatidae. The record is from the annotation of a GenBank genome assembly.